UGUCUAACACGGACAUGGAGAUGA
Molecule: non-coding RNA, 24 nt
Filed under: Arabidopsis thaliana (thale cress)
Lineage: Eukaryota; Viridiplantae; Streptophyta; Magnoliopsida; Brassicales; Brassicaceae
Source: RNAcentral